CUUUCUUUGCUGGCGACCGGCGCACGGGUGAGUAACACGUAUCCAACCUGCCCUUUACUCGGGGAUAGCCUUUCGAAAGAAAGAUUAAUACCCGAUAGCAUAAUGAUUCCGCAUGGUUUCAUUAUUAAAGGAUUCCGGUAAAGGAUGGGGAUGCGUUCCAUUAGGUUGUUGGUGAGGUAACGGCUCACCAAGCCUUCGAUGGAUAGGGGUUCUGAGAGGAAGGUCCCCCACAUUGGAACUGAGACACGAUCCAAACUCCUACGGGAGGCAGCAUG
Molecule: ribosomal RNA, 275 nt
Filed under: uncultured bacterium
Lineage: Bacteria
Description: partial 16S ribosomal RNA
Rfam family: Bacterial small subunit ribosomal RNA
Source: RNAcentral